GCUGCAGCGCUCGCCCUGAGGGGUUGGACCUGGCGUGGCUUGGCUGUUGGAGCCGGAGGCCAGGCUCGCUCGUUCGUGCCGCUUGCGCCGAGGGUCCCCCGCAG
This 104-nucleotide non-coding RNA is filed under the name Alexandrium minutum. Lineage: Eukaryota; Dinophyceae; Gonyaulacales; Pyrocystaceae. The record is from RNAcentral.